This 414-nucleotide ribosomal RNA is filed under the name uncultured bacterium. RNAcentral describes it as "bacterial SSU rRNA". It matches the Rfam family "Bacterial small subunit ribosomal RNA", at positions 32 to 438 of the family's 1533-position model. The record is from RNAcentral.
AAUCAACGCUGGCGGCGUGCCUCAGACAUGCAAGUCGAACGAUUAAAGCUCUCUUCGGAGAGUGCAUAAAGUGGCGCACGGGUGAGUAACACGUAAGUAAUCUACCUUCGAGUGGGGAAUAACGUCGGGAAACCGACGCUAAUACCGCAUAAUGCAGCGGCAUCGCAAGAUGACAGUUGUUAAAGAUUUAUCGCUUGAAGAGGAGCUUGCGGCAGAUUAGCUAGUUGGUAAGGUAAUGGCUUACCAAGGCUACGAUCUGUAUCCGGUCUAAGAGGACGGUCGGACACACUGACACUGAAUAACGGGUCAGACUCCUACGGGAGGCAGCAGUCGGGAAUUUUGGGCAAUGGGCGAAAGCCUGACCCAGCAACGCCGCGUGAAGGAUGAAGUAUUUCGGUAUGUAAACUUCGUAAG